AAACUUUCCAGGGAAUUGGAAAGCAACCCACAUCUGCAUCCCCUCUCUGUAAAUCAUUAGAAGACUCGAUCUGGUGGAGGAGAAGAAGAGUGGCCGACUGUCGGCGAAGCUGAGGGGAAGCGCGGCCAGCGGUCUUGAGGAGGAGGGGAAGCGCGGCCGGCAGUCGCGAGUCUUCGGCCAUGAAAAGGUUCUUCCAGCCAAUCCAGAAAGAUGGCUCCUCCAAGAAACCCACUCUCUCUGUUCAAUCCAACGACGGUGAUGGAAAAACUGAGGAGCAGAAGAACCAGAAAGAGCCAUUGAAGUUCUUGACAUGGAACGCCAAUAGCUUUCUUCUUCAAGUUAAAAACAAUUGGCUGGAGUUCACCAAGUGAGUUUAUCAAAGCUUGAUGCUGCAGGAGUUGGUCUUCAGUCUCAAUGUCAGAAAGUUUCUCUUCAAGGCUGAAAUAAGAUGCAAAUAGUUCAAACAAUAUAACCAAAAACAAACUUUGGGUAGGAUAUAUGCAUGUUCUGGCACCAGUUUGAGUUUCACAGGCUGAAAAAAGUAAAGCAGCCUUGCAAAAGGAGAAAAUAUCUCAAUGGUACAACCUAUGCAUAGCAGUCUUCAACUGAAUUAUCUUUGACUCUGCCUCCAAAGCCUGCUUCAACCGUUCUUCACUAAGCUUUAAGUAAAGCAUCAAACUUUUCAGCAAAAUUAAGGUAUCUCCAAAGAUGAGCUAAAGGGAAAGCUGUAUACAGCUGGCACUUCACUUGUUGAGAAUCCCACAUCGCCUCCACAAGGGAGACCUGGGCUAUAUAUAAGGAGGAGGAUCCCUCCAUCUAUUAAGCUAGCUUUUCAGGUUGGAGUUCUACCUCUAACUUCUCACAUCACUGUUAAGUGUGAGCUGGCUGCCAAACACAACAUUACCUAUAUGGACUCACAUCCUCUAAAAGCUUCAGAAGUCAAGAGGAAAGAAGUGAAAAACCAAAUGCAAAAGCUGGAAUAAUUGUGCAGGUAAAGCGAAGAAUGAGAAGGGUCCUAUCGAGACAGGAUCUGUUAGGUUAGAUAUGUACAAAGCUCACCCGAAUAAAAGGUCUUGGGGGCGUUUGUUGGUUUGAGACAUGCUAGUGGCUGUAUCUUUGUUAUUUUGGCUUGUUGCAUUCCCCUUGAGACAGCCUAACAGAAUGUAAUGUUAACACUUAUGUUGUUCUAUAUGAAAAGAAAAUAAUGGAUUCAUUGUUGUUUGUUGUUAGUAGUAUGGAUGAUCUUGAUUGAAUUUUACUCUGUUUCCAUCU
This is a long non-coding RNA of Diospyros lotus (date-plum), 1272 nucleotides long. RefSeq lists it as uncharacterized. The transcript has 4 exons. NCBI's taxonomy places the organism in Eukaryota, Viridiplantae, Streptophyta, Magnoliopsida, Ericales, Ebenaceae. The record is from RefSeq and is a predicted model, not a curated record.